GCCGGGGUGGUGGAAUGGUAGACACCGGGGACUUAAAAUCCCCUGGACGUAAGUCCGUGUGAGUUCAAAUCUCAUCCCCGGCA
This 83-nucleotide transfer RNA is filed under the name Spirochaetaceae bacterium. Its description in RNAcentral is "tRNA-Leu". It matches the Rfam family "tRNA". From Rfam's summary of the family: Transfer RNA (tRNA) molecules are approximately 80 nucleotides in length. Their secondary structure includes four short double-helical elements and three loops (D, anti-codon, and T loops). The record is from RNAcentral. Lineage: Bacteria; Pseudomonadati; Spirochaetota; Spirochaetia; Spirochaetales; Spirochaetaceae.